Molecule: ribosomal RNA, 40 nt
Filed under: Moeroris odontadenia
Lineage: Eukaryota; Viridiplantae; Streptophyta; Magnoliopsida; Malpighiales; Phyllanthaceae
Description: Phyllanthus odontadenius partial 18S ribosomal RNA
Source: RNAcentral
UUCCGUAGGUGAACCUGCGGAAGGAUCAUUGUCGAAACCC